GCUCCAGUAGCUCAGCGGUCAGAGCAUCGUGCUUAUAAGGUAACUGGAAAUCCCGGUUUGCUUAUGCAAAGAGCACAUCCGUUUAAGCAACGCGAUAGUCGUGGGUUCAAACCCCACCUGGAGCA
Molecule: transfer RNA, 125 nt
Filed under: Diutina rugosa
Lineage: Eukaryota; Fungi; Ascomycota; Pichiomycetes; Serinales; Debaryomycetaceae
Also listed under: 1 other name
Description: Candida rugosa tRNA
Rfam family: tRNA
About the family: Transfer RNA (tRNA) molecules are approximately 80 nucleotides in length. Their secondary structure includes four short double-helical elements and three loops (D, anti-codon, and T loops). Further hydrogen bonds mediate the characteristic L-shaped molecular structure. tRNAs have two regions of fundamental functional importance: the anti-codon, which is responsible for specific mRNA codon recognition, and the 3' end, to which the tRNAs corresponding amino acid is attached (by aminoacyl-tRNA synthetases). tRNAs cope with the degeneracy of the genetic code in two manners: having more than one tRNA (with a specific anti-codon) for a particular amino acid; and 'wobble' base-pairing, i.e. permitting non-standard base-pairing at the 3rd anti-codon position.
Source: Rfam by way of RNAcentral